Molecule: non-coding RNA, 54 nt
Submitted as: unclassified sequences
Source: Rfam
AUCGUUCAUCCCUUAUAGGGUCGGAAGUAUGCUAUAAUGCAGAAGGAACGCAUC